Portunus trituberculatus (swimming crab) is the source of this 1017-nucleotide long non-coding RNA. RefSeq lists it as uncharacterized. The record is from RefSeq and is a predicted model, not a curated record. Lineage: Eukaryota; Metazoa; Arthropoda; Malacostraca; Decapoda; Portunidae. The transcript has 3 exons.
GUGCGUGCGUAUGGCGUCGCGGUUAGUGUAGUGAUAGAUAGUGUGUGUUAGUUUAUCCUAUUGAAUGCGUCUUCCUCGCGUUGGAUUUGGUGAGUACCCGUAUCACAGGUCACACCGUGGGACUGACACCGCUGGGGCAACCCUUCGGAAUAAAGUCAAGUACAAAUUACGGUUUGCUAGGCGUUAGGCAUAGGGCGAUAGGCGGCGCGGCUAACCAUUCUCUUCCAGGUACAAACUAACCUUCUCUUCCAGGUACAUGUUAAUUAUCUAGUCUUCCCAAGUAAUGCCCUGGUUAGCGCACCGUGGUGGCGAUAACUUUCAAAUACUGAGAAUUUAGCACAAGCAAGGACAUAGUAUUGGAAUUUAUUGUAUUGUGAAUGUUGAGUUUGGUAUUGUCGACAUUUUGAAGCUCCCAAUGGCUACUCGUAUCCUUAAAUCAACUAAAACCAUAAUAACACUGAAUAUUGCACACAAAAUUCCGUGGUAAUUUUGAAAGAGUGAGACUUGAACACAUACAAGGACAUAGUAUUGGAAUUUGUAGCGGGCAAGGAGAAGAGAGUGAAUUCCUUUAGAAAGCCACAGGUGAUGAUGGCGUCGGUACCUCCCGCCAAGACACAGGGGUGAGCUCACUGGAGUGCCGUUAUAUUUGCAGCCUGUAUAGAGGUGACAGUGCCGUGACAGAGGUGGUGGAGGUUAUUAAUGCACCAAGGAACAGGUGUGUAAGGUGUGGCAGUGGUGUUGAUAAGGGAUUAGUGUGUAAGGAGGGAAAGAAGUGUGGUGGGCGAGUGCACGUCUGCUCCAUGUCAACAAACUUAUGGUGACGGCCGUGUGGUGUUUGGUGUUGCUUAUACACCCCAUAAACACACUCAACAUGCCCAUAUACACCCACACACACAAAGUGAAGUGAUGACAUUCCCGACAGCACCAGCGGCGAGACAAGAGAGCAAUGCAACUCUUCACCACAACGCCUCACCAUCAUUUAUUUCAGGCUCAGGCGUGUAGAUGGAAGCAGUAGAA